AAAAAUCUCUCUCCAAGAACUUUGAAUAUGUAGAGCAGUCAAAUUGAAAACCCUUUUUUUUAACUGUGGCUCGUAAAUCAUGCUGAAUAAUGGUGGAAAAAAAAAUUAAACAUUAAAGAAGCUCCAGGUAGAGGUAAAUAAAUUUAUUUUCUGGCACAACCAUCAAGUACAGUGAUGUCGGUUCAUCUUAAAAAAAAAAAAAAACUGGUAGUGUUUGUGUUUCUACCACUGACAGCAGAAUUCUAGGACUCUUAUAUCAGAAAACCAUUAUUUCUAGGAUUCAUCAAGGUGUAUUUCACUAAAAUCUGCAGGCUUCAAUGAGAGACUUUACUAACUGACCGAUACCAAUUCAGAAAAUUCUUUCCACCUAUUCUGGCUAAAAAUUGGUACAUACUGAAAUCUCUAAAUUAUCAUUUAUACAUUUUAAUUGAUUCUCAUAAAAAGGAACAAAGAAAUUAAGACAACUUAAAUAAAAAUAAACACAAAUGA
Molecule: long non-coding RNA, 489 nt
Organism: Episyrphus balteatus (marmalade hoverfly)
Lineage: Eukaryota; Metazoa; Arthropoda; Insecta; Diptera; Syrphidae
Exons: 2
Source: RefSeq, a predicted model, not a curated record